Molecule: RNA transcript, 1201 nt
Organism: Carlito syrichta (Philippine tarsier)
Lineage: Eukaryota; Metazoa; Chordata; Mammalia; Primates; Tarsiidae
Gene name: heterogeneous nuclear ribonucleoprotein D-like pseudogene
Exons: 1
Source: RefSeq, a predicted model, not a curated record
GAGGAAAUGAACGAGUACAGCAACAUAGAGGAGUUCGUGGAGGGAUCCAAGAUCAACGCAAGCAAGAACCAGCAGGAUGACGGUAAAAUGUUUAUUGGAGGCUUGAGCUGGGAUACAAGCAAGAAGGACCUGACUGAGUACUUGUCUUGAUUUGGGGAAGUUGUAGAUUGCACCAUUAAAACAGACCCUGUCACUGGGCCAUCAAGAGGAUUUGGAUUCGUGCUUUUCAAAGAUGCUUCUAGUGUUGACAAGGUUUUGGAACUGAAAGAACACAAACUAGAUGGCAAAUUGAUAGACCCCCCAAAGGGCCAAAGCUUUAAAAGGGAAAGAGCCUCCUAAAAAAGGUGUUUGUGGGCGGACUGAGCCCAGAUACAUCCGAAGAACAAAUCAAAGAAUAUUUUGGAGCCUUCGGAGAGAUUGAAAACAUCAAACUUCCCAUGGAUACAAAAACAAAUGAAAGAAGAGGAUUUUGUUUUAUCACAUAUACAGAUGAAGAGCUGGUUAAAAAAUCGUUAGAGAAUAGAUACCAUCAAACUGGCUCUGGGAAUUGUGAGAUCAAAGUCACACAACCCAAAGAGGUCUACAGGCAGCAGCAGCAGAAAGGAGGGAGAGGUGCUGCUGCUGGUGGCCCAGGCAGGGCAAGGGGGCGUGGCCUAGGUCAGGGCCAAAACUGGAACCAAGGAUUUAAUAACUAUUCUGAUCAAGGAUAUAGAAAUUACAAUAGUGCCUAUGGUGGUGAUCAAAAUUAUAGUGGCUAUGGCGUAUAUGAUUAUACUGGGUAUAACUAUGGAAACUAUGGAUAUGGACAGGGAUAUGCAGACUACAGUGGCCAUAUGCAGACUACAGUGGCCAACAGAGCACUUUAUGGCAAGGCAUCUUGAGGGGGUGGCAAUCACCAAAACAAUUACCAGUCAUGCUAAAGGAGGACCUUGGAGGAAGCAGGAGGAGAUGUUUUAAAAGUAAUCCAUCUUGCAGGACGACAUUGAAGAUUGGUCUUCUGUUGAUCUGAGAUGAUUAUUUUGUAAAAGACUUUCUAGUGUACAAGACACAGCUGUGUCCAACUGUAUAUAGCUGCCAACUAGUUUUCUUUGUUCUUACUUUGUCCUUUGCUAUCUGUGUUACAACUCAGUGUGGAUUUGUAUACAUUUUUAUUUGUAUGAUUCCAUGUUAAACCUCAAAUAAGUGCUUCCUCAUGUGAUUG